This 148-nucleotide non-coding RNA is filed under the name Gorilla gorilla gorilla (western lowland gorilla). Lineage: Eukaryota; Metazoa; Chordata; Mammalia; Primates; Hominidae. The record is from Rfam by way of RNAcentral.
GCUGGGCGUGGUGGCGCAUGCCUGUAAUCCCAGCUACUCAGGAGGCUGAGGCAGAAGAAUUGCUUGAGCCUGGGAGGCAGAGGCUGCAGUGAGCCGAGAUCAUGCCACUGCACUCCAGUCUGGGCUAUAGAGCGAGAUUCCAUCUCAA